GAGUUUGAUCAUGGCUCAGGAUGAACGCUAGCGGCAGGCCUAAUACAUGCAAGUCGAACGGGUGGUAGCAAUACCACUAGUGGCGCACGGGUGCGUAACGCGUAACCAACCUGCCCUUGACUGGGGGAUAGCCCGCCGAAAGGCGGAUUAAUACCGCAUAUACCAGCAGCCUGGCAUCAGGCAAUUGGGAAAGAUUUAUUGGUCAAGGAUGGGGUUGCGUGACAUUAGCUAGUUGGCGGGGUAACGGCCCACCAAGGCGACGAUGUCUAGGGGAGCUGAGAGGCUGAUCCCCCACACUGGCACUGAGAUACGGGCCAGACUCCUACGGGAGGCAGCAGUAGGGAAUAUUGGGCAAUGGGCGAGAGCCUGACCCAGCCAUGCCGCGUGCCGGAUGAAGGCCUUCUGGGUUGUAAACGGCUUUUCUCAGGGAAGAAAACGGGUCUGCGGACCACACUGACGGUACCUGAGGAAUAAGCACCGGCUAACUCCGUGCCAGCAGCCGCGGUAC
Molecule: ribosomal RNA, 508 nt
Filed under: uncultured bacterium
Lineage: Bacteria
Description: bacterial SSU rRNA
Rfam family: Bacterial small subunit ribosomal RNA
Source: RNAcentral